This 304-nucleotide unclassified non-coding RNA is filed under the name Hevea brasiliensis (rubber tree). The record is from RNAcentral. Lineage: Eukaryota; Viridiplantae; Streptophyta; Magnoliopsida; Malpighiales; Euphorbiaceae.
GUUAUGGACCACAAUUGAGGGGGAAGAAACUUGCUGACCAUGAGGUUCAUAAGUUGCUUACCCUUGCCGAUCUUGAUUACUCGUUUCUCAAAAAGAAUGGCAGUGAAUUAUCUGUAGGUCAAGCUCAAAGGGUUGCACUUGCUAGGACCCUAGCUAAUGAACCAGAGGUUUUGCUACUAGAUGAGCCAACUAGUGCCUUGGAUCCAAUAUCAACCCAAAACAUAGAGGAUGCUAUUGUAAAACUGAAGAAGAGCCAGGGAAUGACAAUUGUGAUAGUCUCUCACAGCAUCAAACAGAUCCAGAG